This 307-nucleotide ribosomal RNA is filed under the name uncultured bacterium. RNAcentral's name for it is "bacterial SSU rRNA". It matches the Rfam family "Bacterial small subunit ribosomal RNA", at positions 29 to 363 of the family's 1533-position model. The record is from RNAcentral.
AACGAACGCUGGCGGCAGGCCUAACACAUGCAAGUCGAACGCCGUAGCAAUACGGAGUGGCAGACGGGUGAGUAACACGUGGGAACGUACCCUUCGGUUCGGGAUAACUCAGGGAAACUUGAGCUAAUACCGGAUACGUCCGAGAGGAGAAAGNUUUAUUGCCGAGGGAUCGGCCCGCGUCUGAUUAGCUUGUUGGUGAGGUAACGGCUCACCAAGGCGACGAUCAGUAGCUGGUCNGAGAGGAUGAUCAGCCACAUUGGGACUGAGACACGGCCCAAACUCCUACGGGAGGCAGCAGUGGGGAAUA